GAUGAACGCUGGCGGCGUGCCUAAUACAUGCAAGUCGAGCGAACGGACGAGAAGCUUGCUUUUCUGAUGUUAGCGGCGGACGGGUGAGUAACACGUGGAUAACCUACCUAUAAGACUGGGAUAACUUCGGGAAACCGGAGCUAAUACCGGAUAAUAUUUUGAACCGCAUGGUUCAAAAGUGAAAGCCGGUCUUGCUGUCACUUAUAGAUGGAUCCGCGCUGCAUUAGCUAGUUGGUAAGGUAACGGCUUACCAAGGCAACGAUGCAUAGCCGACCUGAGAGGGGGAUCGGCCACACUGGAACUGAGACACGGUCCAGACUCCUACGGGAGGCAGCAGUAGGGAAUCCUCCGCAAUGGGCGAAAGCCUGACGGGGCAACGCCGCGUGAGUGAUGAAGGUCUUCGGAUCGUAAAACUCUGUUAUUAGGGAAGAACAUAUGUGUAAGUAACUGUGCACAUCUUGACGGUACCUAAUCAGAAAGCCACGGCUAACUACGUG
This 497-nucleotide ribosomal RNA is filed under the name uncultured bacterium. Its description in RNAcentral is "partial 16S ribosomal RNA". It matches the Rfam family "Bacterial small subunit ribosomal RNA", at positions 28 to 507 of the family's 1533-position model. The record is from RNAcentral.